ACGUACACUCCUACGGGAGGCAGCAGUGGGGAAUAUUGCACAAUGGGCGCAAGCCUGAUGCAGCCAUGCCGCGUGUAUGAAGAAGGCCUUCGGGUUGUAAAGUACUUUCAGCGGGGAGGAAGGCAAUACGGUUAAUAACCGUGUUGAUUGACGUUACCCGCAGAAGAAGCACCGGCUAACUCCGUGCCAGCAGCCGCGGUAAUACGGAGGGUGCAAGCGUUAAUCGGAAUUACUGGGCGUAAAGCGCACGCAGGCGGUCUGUCAAGUCGGAUGUGAAAUCCCCGGGCUCAACCUGGGAACUGCAUGCGAAACUGGCAGGCUUGAGUCGUGUAGAGGGGGGUAGAAUUCCAGGUGUAGCGGUGAAAUGCGUAGAGAUCUGGAGGAAUACCGGUGGCGAAGGCGGCCCCCUGGACAAAGACUGACGCUCAGGUGCGAAAGCGUGGGGAGCAAACAGGAUUAGAAACCCUAGUAGUCCC
Molecule: ribosomal RNA, 476 nt
Filed under: uncultured organism
Description: partial 16S ribosomal RNA
Rfam family: Bacterial small subunit ribosomal RNA
Source: RNAcentral